GAUGAACGCUGGCGGCGUGCCUAAUACAUGCAAGUCGAGCGAACGGACGAGAAGCUUGCUUCUCUGAUGUUAGCGGCGGACGGGUGAGUAACACGUGGAUAACCUACCUAUAAGACUGGGAUAACUUCGGGAAACCGGAGCUAAUACCGGAUAAUAUUUUGAACCGCAUGGUUCAAAAGUGAAAGACGGUCUUGCUGUCACUUAUAGAUGGAUCCGCGCUGCAUUAGCUAGUUGGUAAGGUAACGGCUUACCAAGGCAACGAUGCAUAGCCGACCUGAGAGGGGGAUAGGCCACACGGGAACUGAGACACGGUCCAGACUCCUACGGGAGGCAGCAGUAGGGAAUCUUCCGCAAUGGGCGAAAGCCUGACGGAGCAACGCCGAGUGAGUGAUGAAGGUCUUCGGAUCGUAAAACUCUGUUAUUAGGGAAGAACAUAUGUGUAAGUAACUGUGCACAUCUUGACGGUACCUAAUCAGAAAGCCACGGCUAACUACGUG
Molecule: ribosomal RNA, 497 nt
Filed under: uncultured bacterium
Lineage: Bacteria
Description: partial 16S ribosomal RNA
Rfam family: Bacterial small subunit ribosomal RNA
Source: RNAcentral